This 336-nucleotide ribosomal RNA is filed under the name Triticum aestivum (bread wheat). RNAcentral describes it as "partial small subunit ribosomal RNA". The record is from RNAcentral. Lineage: Eukaryota; Viridiplantae; Streptophyta; Magnoliopsida; Poales; Poaceae.
AUGGAAAAGGCAGCUCAGGUGGCCUUAGAAUGCAUCUGCGCAGAUUAUAAUAUUUCUAUCAAUGACCAUAAUUACUACGCCCUUGAAGUAACAAAAGAAAGGUUGUUUAUAGCAAGACAGAAAGCUCAGACAAAACAAUGGCAAUUCAAUAUGGCCCACCAGCAAGCAACUACACAGCAAAACGAGUUUGCAAGACAGACAAUGAUUUCGGCAAAGAUAUGCAGCAGCUUCUUUGAUGUAUUACCACUUCGCAUGUAUCCCAGCGCCCAGAUAGCGAUGAUCCCAUUAUCACAUACAUGGGCGCGCAUCCUCCCGUCGGACGUGUGCAGGAAUUAA